RNAcentral lists this ribosomal RNA (574 nucleotides) under uncultured bacterium. RNAcentral describes it as "bacterial SSU rRNA". It matches the Rfam family "Bacterial small subunit ribosomal RNA", at positions 102 to 674 of the family's 1533-position model. The record is from RNAcentral.
ACGGGUGAGUAAUACGUAGGAAUCUGCCCUAGAGUGGGGGAUAACCUGUCGAAAGACGGGCUAAUACCGCAUAAUCUCUAUGGAGCAAAGGUGGCUAGCAAUAGCCUUCGCUUUAGGAUGAGCCUACGUCGGAUUAGCUAGUUGGUAGGGUAAAGGCCUACCAAGGCAACGAUCCGUAGCUGGUCUGAGAGGACGAUCAGCCACACUGGAACUGAGACACGGUCCAGACUCCUACGGGAGGCAGCAGUGGGGAAUAUUGGACAAUGGGGGAAACCCUGAUCCAGCAAUGCCGCGUGUGCGAUGAAGGCCUGCGGGUUGUAAAGCACUUUCGGUGGGAAAGAAAUACUCAAAGAUAAUACCUUUGAGUGCUGACGUUACCCACAGAAGAAGCACCGGCAAACUCUGUGCCAGCAGCCGCGGUAAUACAGAGGGUGCAAGCGUUAAUCGGAGUUACUGGGCGUAAAGGGCGCGUAGGCGGGCUUUUAAGUCGAUUGUGAAAUCCCUGGGCUUAACCUAGGAAUUGCAGUCGAUACUGAUAGUCUCGAGUAUGGUAGAGGAAAGUAGAAUUCUCGGU